AAAAAAGAAAAAAAUGUCCCUAGAAAAUGUCAUAAUCCAUAUUAGGAUUGAGAAACAAAACCAAAAUAGGGACAAUGUUGAGAAAGCUAAGGAAUUGUCUUCUAAGGCUAAUGUAGUAGAAGAAAAACCCAAACCCAAACCCAAACCUAAACCCAAAAACAAUAGGUCCAGAAAACAAAACUCUAGGACCAAGCCUAAUGAAUCAAACAAGGUCCAGAACCUAACUAUUAAAAAAUGAGGUAAUUGCUUUGGUUGUGGAAAGUUUGGACACCAUGCAACUUAAGGUCACCAUAGGAAGAGAACUGAGAAGUCCAAUUCAAAGGCAAAUCUGGCAGAGAUAGAGGCGAUCAUAACUGUAAUCUCCUUUGAGGUGAGCAUGGUCACUAAUAUGAAUAACUGGGUGGUAGACUUUGAGGCUACCAAGCACAUCUGUGGAAACAGAGUGCAUUUACUUCCUAUACCACUGUAAAGGAAUGAGAUAAACAAGUGUUCAUGGAUGAUUCUAGAUCUACUCCAGUGAUUGGCAAAGGGAAAGUUGUCAUCAAGCUAACCUCUGGAAAAGUGCUCGCCCUUAAUGAUGUUCUUCAUGUGCCAGAUAUCCACUGGAACUUGGUGUCAGUAUCUCUACUUGGGAAAGCAGGAGUGAGGAUCUUGUUUGACUCUGACAAAAUAGUUUUAACCAAGAAUGAUGCAUUUGUGGGGAAAGGCUAUUGUAAUCAGGGUUUAUUUAUGUUGAAUGUUUAUAAUAUUAUCAAUAAUAAUGCAUCUUCUUCUUCUGCUUACAUAGUUGAUUCUUGUGAUAUUUGGCAUAGUAGACUAGGACAUGUGAACUUUUCAAAUAUGAAGAAAAUGGUUGAAUUGAGUUUAAUCCCUAAGUUGUCCUUAGAAAACCAUGGAAAAUGUGAUUCAUAUCUAGAAUAAAAAAACCACAAAGGAAUCUUGCAAAUUAGUAGAAAAAUAAUCAGAUCUACUAAGUUUAAUACACAAUAACUUAUGAGACCAAAAAAAUACAAUGAUUAAAGGUGGUAAAAAAUUCUACAUAACUUUCAUAGAUGACUACUCAAGGUAUACAAGGGUAUAUAUUUUGAGAAACAAAAAUGAAGUGAAAAAUCAACUAAGUAAGAAAAUUAAAAUGUGUAGAACUGAUAGGGGAGGAUAGUAUGGGUCCAACCCCUCUAAUUCUUUUUGUGAAGAUCAUGGGAUCAUUCACAAAACUACUCCUCUUUAUUUCCCUAAGUCUAAUGGAGUAGCAAAAAGGAAAAAAUAAGAACUUAAAAGAAAUGAUGAAUGCAAUGUUGGUAAGUUUAGAAACACCCUUGAAUUUGUGGGGGGAAGCUAUCCUCUUCGCUUGUUGUAUUCAAAAUAGAAUACCUUACAAGAGAAUUGGUAAAACUCAUUACCUAAUAUAGCAUACCUGAAAGUGUAGGGAUGUUUAGCUAAAGUUCUUUUCCCUGAACCUAAAAAACAAAAACUAGGUCCUAAAACCUUUGAUGCAAUGUUCAUUGGCUAUGUUGAGAAUAGUGCAGCAUAUAGAUUUCUUGUUACUAAGUCAGAAAACAGUCUUGUAGAUGUCAAUACCAUAAUAGAAACAAAUAAUGCAGAUUUCUUUGAAAAGAUCUUUCCUAUGAAACUAAAUGAUGAACAAAAAGUUCAGAAAACAAGUAGAGACGAGUCUAUUGAACCUUCUGAAUUUGAAUCUAGAAGGAGUAAAAAAGAUAGAAAAGAAACAAACCUUAGAGAUGGUUUCUACACUUUCCUAAUAUAUGAGGACCCUAAAUCCUACAAAGAAGCUAUAACUUCUCCUGAUGCAUCAUGAUUACUACUCAAAAAGUGUUAUUUUGUAGCUUGUAAUUAACUCUUUUAAAACAAUUUUAAGUAAUAGUUAUUACCUUUUAACUCAAUUAGCAUAUUAAGUACCUUUGUAAUCGUUUCUAAUCAAAUUAUGUUAAGUUUUGGUGUUUUUGAUAGUAUUUUGAUCACCAAAACAAUCUAAGAUGAGGGAGAGUUCUAUAGAAUCCAUUGCAAAGCAAUUGGAAGCUCAUUUACAUGAAGAACCCAAGCCUUGAAGCUUUAUAAUCCUUUGCCAAAAGCAAAUCAUGAAUGCAAAGAGGGAAAGCAAAAAGAGAAAUCUAACAUGAAGAAUUCAAGAGGAUAGCAACUGUUGGACAUAUUUAAAGCACUUCUUGGAGUCCAUUUCAUACAUACUAUAUGUCGUUUCGAAGAUCGGAAAGUCAUAAAUCUAACGCUUUAAAUGGUAUAUGAAUCGGAGUUGAAAUGAAGAAGUUAUAGCCAUUGGAAGCCAAUCACACCAAGUUGAAGGCCAAUUUCGCAGCUGCGAAAUCAACCUUUGGCUGCGAAAUGGAGACCUUCAGCUUGCAAAAUUUCGCAGCCUCUUUCAUGCCUGCGAAAUCCUCCUAAGUGCUUCCAGAUAUUUGCAACCGACUCUUUUAGAUUUUUUCUUAAGAUAUUUGUUGUUUAAAUCCCCAUUUUCUCCUUGUAAUCCACCAAUCAUAGGAUUCCUUAGUUAAUAAGUAAGAACAAAGGGUGAAUAACCUCAUAUAUAUGGCUUGUAAUUUUUCUUUACAGAACAUCUCGAGAGUUUGUUCUCAGAGACAACCUUUUGUAUAGUUUUGAAGGAAGUAAUAUAUAGAGUUUUGCUCUGCCUUACCUACUCACUUUGAUUGUAUUUUUCUUACUAGCCAAACAAGCUCUGAGGAUGUUUCCUCAGAAGAUGAGUGGCUAGGCUUUUUGUCUCUUGGAUCUAAGGUAGCUGGGUAAGGUGUCGAGUGCAAGAAUUGGAAGUUUUGUUGUUUCAGCUUUUAAUGAAAAGAAAGUGUGACCCGUUAUUGGUUUCUAUGUUUUUAGUUAACUUAAAACGCCUUUAAAUCACCUAGGCCAACACUUGGUAAGGCAAGUGAUCUCCGUUCAUUGAGAUGCACUGGUUUAUCUCUUGCGAGCCUUUGGGAGGUGAUUUGAAGGUAGGAUUUUCUAAAAUUGCCAACACUUGGUAAGCUUUUACACUCUAAGGAGACAUCCAUUAGUUAUCUCUUGCGAGCUUGAGAAGGGAAAUCCAAGGUUAAUGAUCACCUUGAAUGGUAAAUGCUAGGUGAGAGGCACGAGCCAUUGCAAGAUGAGUCAAUGAGAGGGAUUUAGUGUUGGAAUCCAUAAAAGGGAAGUAUCUGUACCACAUCGAUUAGAGAAAUAACUAUAUGUUAAUUCUCUAAUGCGAGGAAAAGAUUCAAGUGACCGAAACUCUGUUUUUGUAUUGGGAGCCUGACCCCAGUGAUCCUAAAACUCCAAGAAACACUUUUCUUUAUAAGUAACUUCCGUUACUUUAUUUUUUUUAUUAGCUUAAAACCAACCAUUUCUAAACCAAAGUUUAUAUUUUCUUUUAAAGCUAACCUUGAAAUGAAAAAGUAUCAAUUCAAUUUUGAAUUAUUAUUAGUUGUAAGUUGAAAACCCUUCCCAGUGAACGAUCCUAGAGCCACCAUGCUAUGCUAGCUGAGGCUAUCAUAGUACAUGGUGAUAUAGGUUAUAAAUUUUGUUGAUUACUCCUGUCUGAAGGCCAAAAUCAAGGUACACCAGCUAGGCAUGGAAUCACAUCAUUAUGGAAAUAGGCCAUUAACAGUGAAAUCGAAUCAAUCAUGUGUAACCACACAUGGGAGUUAGUAGAUUUACCUCAUGGUGAAAAGACUAUUAGUUGUAAGUGGAUCUUUAAAAGGAAGUUAAAAAAAGAUGGGUCCAUAGAGAAGUAUAAAGCUCGGUUAGUUGCCGAAGGCUUUAGACAAAGAAAAUAUAUAAAUUACUUUAACACCUUUGCCCUUAUGACUAGAAUAGCAUUAAUUAGAGUAUUGAUCACUCUAGCUUCCAUUCAUAAUCCGGUGAAACACCAAAUGGAUGUUAAGACUACAUUCUUGAAUGAAGAUUUGGAAGAGAAAAUUUAUAUGGAACAAUCUGAGGGUUAUGUAGUUCAAAGGAAGGAGAAAAAGGUGUAUAGGCUGGUUAAAUCACUAUAUGGGUUAAAACAAGCUCCCAAAUAGUGUCACAACAAGUUUGAUCGUGUGUUAGUAACUAAUGGAUAUUCCAUUAACGAUGUUGAUAAGUGUAUCUACAGUAAGUAUGAGGAUAACACAUGUGUAGUCAUCUGCCUUUAUGUUGAUGACAUGAUGAUAUUUGGAACUAGCCAAAAGGUUGUGUGUGAGACCAAAAAAUUCCUAGGUUUUAAGUUAGAUAUGAAAGACCUAGGAAAGGUAAAGAUGAUUCUAGGAAUUAAAAUAACUAAAACACCUAAUGGGCUUAAACUUUCUCAAGAGCACUAUGUUUAGAAGAUCCUAAGGAAGUUUGAAUACUUUGAUUGUAAACCAAUGUCAACUCCUUAUGAUCCUAGCUCACAACUGAAGAAAAAUAGAGAAUACAAUGUUGCCCAAAUCGAGUAUGCUAAGAUCAUAAGGAGCCUAAUGUACUUAAUGAACUAUACUAGACUUGACAUUGUUUAUGCAGUAGGUAGAUUGAGUUAGUACACCUAAAGUUCUAAUCAUGACCAUUGGACUACUGUUCGUAGAGUCUUCAAGUAUUUGAGAGGCACCAUUAACUAUGGUUUGUGCUAUAGUGGAUUUCCAAGUGUCCUCGAAUGAUUUAGUGAUGUAAAUUGGAUCUCGGAUUUAGAUGAGAUAAAAUCUACUAGUGGAGAUGUUUUCACCCUUGGUUGAAGUGCAGUUUCUUGGAAGUCCGCCAAACAAACUUGCAUUACUCGGUCUAUUAUGGAGGUUGAGUUUAUUGCCUUAGAAAAGACAAGUUCUGAGGUUGAGUGGCUUAGAAACCUCUUAGUAGAUAUCCCUUUAUGGACGAUACCAGCCUCAUUUGUGUUUAUGCAUUGUGACAACCAAGCUGCAAUUGCUAAGGCUAAGAGUAAAAUAUUUAAUGGGAAGAAUAGACAUAUACGCCUAAGGCACAAUAUUGUGCGGUAGCUGCUUGAAACAUGGGUUAUAUUCCUAGAAUUUGUGAGGUCAAAUUUAAAUUUGGUUGAUUCUUUGACCAAACCACUAAAUAAGAAACUAGUGGUAGAAACAUUGAGGGGAAUGAGGCUUAUGCCUAUUACAUAAGUGAAAAAUAAUGGUAACCCAACCUAUUAGAAUGGAAAUUCCAUGAAGUAGGUUCAUAUGGGUAAUAACAAAUCACUUGUUGACUAGAGGUGCUCUAUCAACUUUAAUUGUAUGAGAGUUUAUCCCUAUGGUGCAAAUAGAGCGUAUCUUGCAUUGACUAAAGUUGAGUGUUUACUCUUAAUGAAUACCAUAUUCCUUAUGGAUGAUAUGUUUAAAUGCAGAACAUACUCGAUGGAUUCACCUAUAUGAGAGUGGAGGUGGAGUUGCUUCCUAUGAGAACUUAGGCAGGUUCUCUAGAACUCUCAUGAAUAUCUAGGUAAGGCGCAUAACCUAUUUGUGCCAACCUAUUAUGUAGAACUCGUAGUGUAGUUGAGAAAACUAAUGUGGAUAAAGGUCCCUUGAGUUACAUAAAGAAACAUUGGUUCAUAGAAAUUUAUUUUCACUGUGUUUUGUGAUUCAAUACUUAUUUUUCCUAAGACUAAUUCAUAACCUUUGGGCACCAGUACUGAUGCAUUGGAUUCUUUUUUUCUUCAAUUUUUUUUUCUUUCACAUCUACACUCUGUGGGGGAUUGUAAGAAGAAUGUAAAUGUGAAAAAGUGUUUUAGUGAACUCGACUAUUUUUUACAAAAUUCAAAAUAAUUAUUUUGUUUAAUUUUAUUUUAUUAUGUUUGACUUAGUCUUUUAUUUUUGGUCGACUCUUUGGGAAGAGUCCCAUUGGGACUGUGCUAGUAAAGUCUUGUUUCGCUUACAAUUAGAGCCUCAUUCUGCUUACAAGUAAAGUCCCGUUGGGACUAUGUUAAUGGCCUAUAAAAGCAAGUCACCCCUCACUCUCUAAACACUACUUUUUUCAGAGAGUUUUUUAGAGAGUCUUUCAUGCAUAUAUUUGGAGGAAUAUUUUAGAACCCAAGUUGUACAUGUCUUGCCUACAGAGUGCACCCAAGGUAAGAUUCAUUGGCUAUUGAAUCCUGGAAGUAGACCACUGGUACCCUAAUGCACCGAGUUUGUCUUCAAGAAGGGUGAAUCUAUUUCUUGUUAUUCAUCAUGUUCUUUGUUUAUGUGUUUUGGGUUAGUCCUUUGUUUUCAUACCCUUAAAACAACAAACUUAAGCGUCAUUCUCACUGCCCAGUCGUUCGGGACAAUCCGUCUACUACCCUAGGACUAGACAAACUAUUCGUUCGGCCUUAUGUUUCACCAUCCUAACAAUUAGGUCAUGGAUGCCAACGACGAUAGGGUACGGAACAACAGUGAAGGCCCACAAACCCAGUUUAGUAACUAUUUUCUAAAAUAGUUAUGAAAAAUAGUUCUUGAAAAUUGUUUUCUAAUGUUUUGUAGAACAAAAGUUUGUUUGAGAAUAUAAAAUAUUUUUAAUAUUUUUAAAUAUGUUUUAAAAAUAAUUUUUAUAUUCAGUGCUUUAUUUUUAAUCAUUCUACAUGCUUGUGUGAUUAUUUUCUAAAACAGCUCUUAGAAAAUAAGUGAAAAUAAUAUAAAACAACUAAAAGAUAUUAUCUGAAAAAUACUAUGUUUUCUAUAAAAUAGUUUUUUUAUUGUCAAACGUAUUUCCUUGUUUUUUAUUAUGGAAACAAAAAACUAUUCUUGAAAAUAGUUGUCAAACAAGCCCUUAAAGAUUUGUUUAAUAAAAAUGACAAAUAAACUCAUACUAAAUGUAAAAAGUUGGACAUGUACAAAUAUUCUUCUUAUAUGUAAUCUAUUUUUCUUCUUAAAUAUAGAAAAUAAGUUAAUAGAUAUUAUUUAAAUGAAAGAACAAUGAAAAGGCUUUUUAUUUCAAAUAAUGUAGAAAAAAUAAAUACUAAUUUAAUGAUUAAGUUGAUAUAAUUAAUUAUUUAUAAUUUCUUUUUAUAAAAUGAGAUCAUUUGUACAAUAUAUUUUAUUUUAAAGUUGUAUGAAGUUACUCCUUGUUGACCAAGUCGACCUUGAAGAUUUUUUUUUCUAAACCUAUUGUUCAUAUUUGAUUUAGCUUUUUUCCUUUAUCAAGUUUGCCUUGAAUAAUAGGUCAUUGAUUUUCUCGAUCUGUUCUCUUAUUCUAUUAUGCUCCUCAAUUGGAAUGUGAAUGAUGAUAUAUUCGAGGAAUAUUUAAUUUCUCUUAUGUUUCAUAUUAUUCUUAAUAUUUUUCCAAGAGUAGGAGAGAGUUUUUAUGACGUGUCCAACCACACACGAUAACUAAGUUCGCUUAUUAGCUUAUGGUAGUCAUGGAUUUGAGAUGAUAUAUUCCUAUAUUUGAUUCUUUGAAAAUUUCAAAAAUUUCCUAUGACAAUUUCCAAUCCCAACAUAUUCCAAAAUGUAGUUCUUGUUCACAAAAUGUAUUUUUUGUGGAGAAGAUGUUCUUUUGUGUCCAGAUGAGUGACAUGUGGCAAAGAAUAUUCUCCAGCAUAUGAGGGAUUUUUCUGGUAGAGGAGACUACCUUUAAGGAGCAUUUUUAAAGAGUAGUGCAAAAACUUUUUCUGAGGGGGAGAACCGGUAGAAGAUACGUAGCAAAGACUGUUUGGAGGAGUUGUGAAAGAGAAAACGGAGAGAGAAAGCUAGGGCAACAAGAAAAGUUUGAGAGCUUGAGAGAGUAAGAUUUUAGGUUGUGAAAGUGAGUUGAACAGUGAAAAAAGCAUAAAAAAUACGGAAGCAUUUUAGGUUGUGAGGUAGCCAUUUUUGAGAAUGUGGAAGGUUGUUUUUUAGAAGGGUAGGAGGAGUAGAGAAAAAACAAGCAAAGUGCAGAUGAGUAUUUGGGGAGACUGUCUCAGGUGGAGAGCAGAUUGGAGAGAGAGUGAGAGAGUGAGUAGGUUGUGAGUGGGUUUUGAGAGAGAAGAGAUGGGGUGUCUUGCGAAAGAAGAAAUAGGGAGAGAGAGAGAGAGAGAGAAACUGUAAGCAUGAAGCAAGACCAAUAGAGAGAAAGCAUAUGAAUUAAGAUUUUUUGGGAUGGACUUUUGAAAGGAAUUUUUUUUUUUUUGAGCCAUGGAGGAGACUCACCAGGUAUGUUGAGUUUCACAUCUUCAUAUUUUCACACCAUUCUGCUUGAUGUUUUUACUGGUUUAUAGGUUGCUCGUAUGCUGGUAGCUAUUGAUAUUUCAUGUCAUUUCUUUAGUUUGAUUUGAGAUUGAUGAGACUUUGCUAUUUCUUGAUCUAUUUCAUAUUGACUGUUUUUUCGUUUGGAUUUUUUUGUGGUCUUCCUCACCAUCUUGUGCCCAUUGAAAAAGUAUGAAAUGUGGUUUUGUUAUGUUUGAUUUCAUUUAUUUGCUUUCUUCUUGUUUCUUUCUAUUUCAUCCAUGUUCCCAUUUCUACACUUUCGCUGUUUUUCUGAUGGCUUAUUAAAAGAGCCAACCCAACAUCUUUGGUUAAGGUAAACCUUCAUGUGAUUAUAUGUGGCUAUGAAGAUAAAGUAGAAUGAGGAUGUGAAUUUUUGUGUGUCAAACUUUUCCAUUGGCUAAUCUGGAAAUGUAUGUAGCAAUGGAAUAUCCCACAACCAAAUUUCCAAAAACUGCAACAAUAAGGGUUGAUAACUAGAAUGGUAAAGCCAAUUGUUGGCAUUCUAUGAUUCAUCUGGAGGCUUCCUUAGUAGUCAAGUUAUUUUACCACUCAUCUGUAUCAUGAGUAAAGUAUCUUGGGGAUGAAGUUGUUACAGAGCCAUGUUGGUCAUAGUAUAUGAUUGAAUAAGGUCCAACUAUGGUGUGUGAUUCAAGGUUUGAACUUGAUAAGAUGACCAACUUUUUAGUAGCAAUGAUUCGAUACUCAAUUAAGAAUAUUUUUAAUAAAUAUCCACUAGAGCAUGUUAUGGUGACUAUGUUUUACCAAGUGUAUGAACAAUUUAUGCAUGGCAUGAGAUUAAUAUGGGAAUACAACUCAACAGCUUAGCUAGAAUAAGACUGCUGCAUGACUGUAUUAUUAUUGUUUUGGGUCAUGGGAUUUACAUUACUGAGUUCUCUAGUGCAGGACCUUACACCAAUAAAGCAAUUAAAAAAAAAACAAGAAAGAAAAAAGAAAAAAGAAAAAUAGACACUGAACAAAGGAAGAGAAGAUCUUACACCAAUAAAGCAAUUGAAAAAAAAAAACAAAAACUAAAUAAAGAGAAAGAAGACCUUAUAUUAAUAAAUCAACUGAAAAAAAAAACCAAAGAAGAAAAACAUAGGAUGAACAAAUGAUGAAAGGACUUUACACUAAUAAAGCAACUAAAAAAAACAAGAAAGAAAGAAGAAAAACAAAGGUUGAAUAAAGGAAAAGAGGACUUUACACAAAUAAAGCAACUGAAAAAAAAUAAGAAAGAAAAAAAAAUAGAGGCUGAAUAAAGGGAGAGAGAACCUUACACCAAUAAAGUAAUUGAAAAAACAAAAAGAAAAAUAGAAAAAAUAAAAAUAGAGGUUGGAUAAAGGAAGAAAGAACCUUACACCAAUAAAGCAACUAAAAAAACAAGAAAGAAAGAAGAAAAAUAGAGGUUGAGCAAAAGGAGAGAGAACCUUACACCAAUAAAGCAACUGAAAAAAAAAACGAGAAACAAAAAAGAAAAAUAGAGGCUGAACAAAGGGAGAAAAAAACUUACACCAAUAAACAAAUGGAAAGAAGACCUUAUACCAAUAAAACAACUAAAAAAAGAACAAGAAAGAAAAAAGAAAAAUAAAGGCUAAUAAAAGGAAAGAUGACCUUACACUAAUAAAGCAACUGAAAAAAAAAUAAAAUAAGAAAAACAAAGGCUGAAUAAAGAGAAAGAACCUUACACCAAUAAAGAACCUGAAAAAAAAAAAAAAAACAUAGGUUGAACAAAGGAAAAAAUGACCUUCAAUAAAUAAAAUAAUUGAAAAAAAAAACAAGAAAUGAAGAAGAAAAACAAAGGUUGCACAAAGGGAGAGAUGACUUUACACCAAUAAAACAACUAAAAAAA
This 9981-nucleotide long non-coding RNA is filed under the name Vitis vinifera (wine grape). RNAcentral describes it as "long non-coding RNA (VVIN_LNC005752)". The record is from RNAcentral. Lineage: Eukaryota; Viridiplantae; Streptophyta; Magnoliopsida; Vitales; Vitaceae.